UGUAAAAAUACAUGCAACUCGAAUGGCAGA
This 30-nucleotide non-coding RNA is filed under the name Mus musculus (house mouse). Lineage: Eukaryota; Metazoa; Chordata; Mammalia; Rodentia; Muridae. The record is from RNAcentral.